Molecule: ribosomal RNA, 323 nt
Filed under: uncultured Enterobacteriaceae bacterium
Lineage: Bacteria; Pseudomonadati; Pseudomonadota; Gammaproteobacteria; Enterobacterales; Enterobacteriaceae
Description: bacterial SSU rRNA
Rfam family: Bacterial small subunit ribosomal RNA
Source: RNAcentral
UGGGAAGUAUUGCACAAUGGGCGGCAAGCCUGACUGCAGCCAUGCCGCGCUGUAUGAAGAAGGCCAAUUCGGGGCUUUGGUUAAAGAUACUUUUCAGCGAGGAGGAAGGCGUUGUGGUUAAUAACCGCAGCGAUUGACGUUACUCGCAGAAGAAGCACCGGCUAACUCCGUGCCAGCAGCCGCGGUAAUACGGAGGGUGCAAGCGUUAAUCGGAAUUACUGGGCGUAAAGCGCACGCAGGCGGUCUGUCAAGUCGGAUGUGAAAUCCCCCGGGCUCAACCUGGGAACUGCAUCCGAAACUGGCAGGCUAAAGAGUCUUGUAGA